Molecule: ribosomal RNA, 498 nt
Filed under: uncultured bacterium
Lineage: Bacteria
Description: partial 16S ribosomal RNA
Rfam family: Bacterial small subunit ribosomal RNA
Source: RNAcentral
ACUCAAAGGAAUUGACGGGGGCCCGCACAAGCGGUGGAGCAUGUGGUUUAAUUCGACGCAACGCGAAGAACCUUACCUGGGCUCGAACGGCUUACGAAGUUUGGCGGAAACGCCGGAUUUCCCGCAAGGGACGUGAGUCGAGGUGCUGCAUGGCUGUCGUCAGCUCGUGUCGUGAGAUGUUGGGUUAAGUCCCGCAACGAGCGCAACCCUUGUCCUGUGUUGCCAACCGAAAGGUGCACUCUCAGGAGACCGCCAGCGAUAAGUUGGAGGAAGGUGGGGAUGACGUCAAGUCAUCAUGGCCUUUAUGUCCAGGGCUACACACGUGCUACAAUGGCCGGUACAAAGCGCAGCAAACCCGCGAGGGGGAGCAAAUCGCAAAAAACCGGUCUCAGUUCGGAUUGCAGGCUGCAACCCGCCUGCAUGAAGCUGGAAUCGCUAGUAAUGGUAUAUCAGAACGAUACCGUGAAUACGUUCCCGGGCCUUGCACACACCGCCCGU